CUUGGUGGUGUUAGCUCAGUGGGUACACCUCUUCCCAUCCCGAACAGAGUAGUUAAGCACUGAAACGCCGAUGGUACUGCUAGGGUGACCUUGUGGGAGAGUAGGUAACUGCCAAGC
Molecule: ribosomal RNA, 117 nt
Filed under: Ignavibacteria bacterium
Lineage: Bacteria; Pseudomonadati; Ignavibacteriota; Ignavibacteria
Source: RNAcentral